AACGAACGCUGGCGGCAUGCCUAACACAUGCAAGUCGAACGAGACCUUCGGGUCUAGUGGCGCACGGGUGCGUAACGCGUGGGAACCUGCCCUUAGGUUCGGAAUAACUCCCCGAAAGGGGUGCUAAUACCGGAUAAUGUCUUCGGACCGAAGAUUUAUCGCCUUUGGAUGGGCCCGCGUUGGAUUAGCUAGUUGGUAGGGUACAAGCCUACCAAGGCGACGAUCCGUAGCGGGUCGGUGAGGAUGAUCAGCCACACUGGGACUGAGACACGGCCCAGACUCCUACGGGAGGCAGCAGUGGGGAAUAUUGGACAAUGGGCGAAAGCCUGAGCCAGCAAGGCCGCGUGAAUGAUGAAGGCCUUAGGGUUGUAAAGCUCUUUUACCCGGGAUGAUAAUGACAGUACCGAGAGAAUAAGCUCCGGCUAACUCCGUG
Molecule: ribosomal RNA, 433 nt
Filed under: uncultured bacterium
Lineage: Bacteria
Description: partial 16S ribosomal RNA
Rfam family: Bacterial small subunit ribosomal RNA
Source: RNAcentral